UACGGAGGGUGCAAGCGUUAUCCGGAUUUACUGGGUUUAAAGGGUGCGCAGGCGGAUAUGUAAGUCAGUGGUGAAAUCUCUAGGCUUAACCUGGAAAUUGCCGUUGAUACUAUAUAUCUUGAAUGUUGUGGAGGUAAGCGGAAUAUGUCAUGUAGCGGUGAAAUGCUUAGAUAUGACAUAGAACACCAAUUGCGAAGGCAGCUUACUACACAGUUAUUGACACUGAGGCACGAAAGCGUGGGGAUCAAACAGG
This 253-nucleotide ribosomal RNA is filed under the name uncultured bacterium. RNAcentral describes it as "partial 16S ribosomal RNA". It matches the Rfam family "Bacterial small subunit ribosomal RNA", at positions 524 to 776 of the family's 1533-position model. The record is from RNAcentral.